ACCCAGGGUAUCUCCAAAGGCCAACUUGUUUUUUUUUAAAAAAGAGAGAGAGAGAGAGAGAGAGAAAGAGAUAGAGAGAGAAAGAGAGAGAGAGAGAGAAGAGGAAGGGAGACAGCUUACCUGAGUUGUCACCGGAGCCACCGCGCCUCGAGACCACGUUGAGCUCGUCACCACCGUUCGCUGCAGCUUAGAAUCGCCGGAAACCGCCAUGCAGUUAAGCUUAGUUUCGUCCGUUUAGUAAAUCGACCAUAACUUAUUAACCUUUGCGAAUCUCGUGCAUCCAAGCCCAUCAUCGUGUUCCUCUCGUCGAGACGAAGCCGUAGACACCAAGCACGCCUCAAACGGAGCCCGGACGAAGCCGUACGCGCCUCCAGAAAACCGCCCUUCGCGCGCGCGUGAAACGCACGCGCCGCCGCCGGAAAUCGUCGCCACCGCAGCUCCGCCGCCGGACCACCGUCUGCUGCCGCAGCUCCGCCGUCGCCGCCGGCCAACUUUCCGAUUUGGAGUCCAUUUGAGCAGCUGGAGUUCAUAGACAACACUUUUCUAUUGCUAAGGUGAGACAAACAAGUAUGUGAUAUUUGGACGGACUUGGUGCUAUUGGACUUGUCUUUCGGAUUUUAUUUGGGCAUGGGUGAGAGUUGUCGGGUUUAUGGGCUUUUAUAUUACGGGAUAUUGUUGGUGGCCCGUCGUCCUUAGUGUCAGGGAGACGGGUAUCACAUUGUUGUAUGAUGACGCGUCGGGGGUGACACGCUGUCCUCCAUAUAGGAGGUGACGGGUGUCACAAUUUGGUAUCAGAGCGGGUUCCAUCCGGGUUCCGUCCGGGAUGGCGGUCAGGGGAUUCGGUUUUCAUCGGUUUUCAACUUAAAAAAAAACUAUAUAUUUAUUUAUACAUUUCGAAAUUCUUUUAGCACCAUUCUGUCCAGUAAUUACUAACUCAAAUGUCUCUUUCUAUGAUGAUGAGUAAAAUCAUCGUCAUUCGUCCUUCGACUAACAACGUUCUCGACAGAUGUUCAGCAGUUGCGUGAAGUCCAAGUUCGUCAGUUUUCUCGGGAGUUAUCAGUUUCUUCGGACAUGAUUUCGAGGCUAUCCAGGAGUGGAUAUAUGACGUUUCUGCCACCAGCCCACUUCAAGCAAUCGUUCCACGAGUUUUGUUACUGGAGAUUUUGUGGUGUGUGAUAUGAGCCAUUGGUUGGCAUGUGUUGUUGUGUGUACGAGUAUAUUGACUAUUUUGGAGAUAUAUUUGUUUUGUGAACUCGUGGAGAUCGCUUUUGAAUUGGGGUGCAGCAGCUUGCGUUGUGUGGGUGUUGGAGUUACACUUUGGUAUGUUUACCAAUUUUGGCAGUGUUGAUCGUUUCAGAGAUGUGUCAGUUUGGACAACUGACAUAGGACAUUGAAAGCUAUUUAUAUCCAUCGCAGUGUACCAGUUAUGCUUGGUGGGCCGAUUUGUUCGGAUAUUCAUCAGAGAUGGAGCUACGUUUUUACGAUGUUAUCCUUGGGAUGGAUUGACCGUCACGGCAUCAAGUAGUGUUGGAUUGCCUGAGGGCAAGAGUUCCGAUUGCUGGAGCAGAUGGAAGUUGUUAGUGCAUGCAUGCUACAUACUGAGGAGUUAUGGGAUACAAGGAUAUAUAGAUUUUUGACUACCAUCUCGAUGGUUAAGGAUGAUGUACAACAUGAGCUGCAGGAUCUUCCGGUUAUUGCAGAGUAUGAGGACAUAUUUGUGACCUUUGGAACGGUCACCACAUGACACAUGAGAAACUCUUGCGAUUUGUUUGGAGCAAACAACACCAGUUUCACAAGUUUUAUACCGAUUAGCACCAACAGAGAUGACAAAGCUGAAAGAGCAUGUUGAAGAUUCAUCAGACAAGGGUUUUAUCAGACCGGGUACUUUACCGUGGGGAACAUCAUCAUUGUUGUUGUAAAGAAGAAAGGUGGGAGUUUCAAUUUUGUAUCGACUGCAAAGGUCUGAACAAAGUGACCAUUAAAGAUAAGUAUCGCUUCCGCGCGUUGAUGAUUUAUUGGAUUAUUUAUAGGAAGUUUAUAGUUCUUGAAGGUUGACAUGGCAUCAGAACACCAUCAGAUUACUAUAUUUGAAGAGUAUCUACUGAAUGUGAAUUUUUGUAUACAUUAUGGAUAUUAUGGGACGCAGUGAUACCAUUUGGCUCGACAAAGGCAUCGUUGCAUUCAUGAAGAUAUGAAUGACGUUUUCGUGAACAUUUGGAUAGGUGUGCGAUUGUAUUCAUCGAUGACAUCCUGAUUUAUUUUGGAGUAGAAAGGAGAUUUGUGAGCAUUUCGCGGAUGGUGUUGGAUAAGCUUGGAGAGCAUCAACUGUUCGCUAAGUUGAAGAAGUGUAGCUUCUGGCAGAGGAAUGUUGGAUUUUUGGGUAACAUGGUUUUGGAAGCAGAAUUUUGAUGGAUUCAAAGAAGAUUAAUACCGUUUCGGGAAGGUCGAAACCUAAGAGCGCUACAAAGAUCUGCCGUUCUUUUUGGGUUAAUAGUGUACUACUGGAAGUUCAUCAAGGGUUUCACCGGUAUAGUAAUGUUAAAGACGCGGUCUACAUGUAAAGACGUUAAGUGUGGCUGGAUAGAUUUUUGUUCGAGGAGUUUCACUGAAUUGAAGCACAACUAAUGAAGACACCAGUUUUGAGUUCUACUGAGGCUGAGGCUUACUGUGAUGUGUCAGAUACUGGAUUGGAUUUAAAUUAAGGUAUGAGGAUUAAGUCAUUCAUAUGCAUGACACCAGAGAUUCUGUAGUGGUAUUUGCGUUAUCGUUUUGGAAAUCGUAAUUGUACGGGAAGGAAAUUCAGAUUCUCUGGGAUUAUUAGAAUGUGAAAUUUAUCUUCAUUUAUUAAAAACUUGUACUUGGACAGUGCAGUUGGAUUGAGUUUGUAGCAGGCUAUAGUCUGGAUAUCGCAUACUAUCUGGUAAGGACAACCAGGUGAUAAAUGCCUUCGGUAGGCGUAUGAGCUGUAUCUCAGGAACCAAGAAGGUUCAUGAGUUGGAGAUUUGCUAGUCUCAGGUUGGGUGCCAUUACUAUCAAUGGAGAGACAGAUGUCCUUGGGACUUUGGAGCAGGCAGUUUUGCUAUGGAGGAUACACAAGCACAAGUUAGCAUUCUGGAUUGGUUGAACAGAUCGAGAUUGGGAGUAUUGGAUAUCAUACAGCUUUGAGCAGGAUAUACUUGUAAUGAAACCGAGUUUGUGUGUUGGACGAUAAGUUGUUAAGAAAAGGAAUCUUACAACAAACAUAUCACUCGUGUUUCUCUACCCAUCGGGAAGACCAAAGGGCACAAAGAUAUGAAGAGUUAACUAUAAUUGGUGUAAUAUGAUGAUGUUUGUAACUACAUUACGUCGCGGUGCCAGACAUGUUAUAUGGCAAUAACAGAGGAUCAGUCAUCUAUCAUGUUAUUUUUGAGCUUGCUUUUGCCGGAGUAGAAAUGAGGCAUGGUGAUUAUGGACAUUGUUAUUGGAUUUUAAAUCACCAUAUGUGGAAAGGAUGCCACAUGGAUAGUCAUGGAUAGACUUACCAAGUCAGCCCAUUUCCUAAGUAAUUAAGAAGAUAAUCAGGGCUAAUCAAUUGGAGCAAACCUACAUUAUUGAGUUCAGGAAGUUUCAUGGAUGUCAACAUUGUAUCGGAUUGGGAAUCGAAGUUCACAUCUACAUUUCAGAGAGCCUUUUCGGAAGGCACUUGGUACAAAGAUCAUAUGGGUACAUCUUAUCACCCGUUGACAUAUUGUCAGUCAGAGAGGACUACUCAGAACUUAAAGGAUAUGUUCAGAGAUUGUGUGGGAUGGAAUUUUGGAAAGCAUCUACCCAUACCAGAGUUUGCCUACAUCGACAGCUAUCUUUUGAGUAUUAAAAAAAUUAUUAUAUGAGGGUUAUUUAUGGUAGACCUUAUAGUAUACCACUUUGUUGGACCAAAGUGGGGGAGCAAUAUGAGUUAGAACUAUUAAUAGUUCAAGAGACAGUAGAGCAAAGGACAUGCUCAAGAAUUGGCUUUCGGAAGCCCAUGACGUCAGAAGAUUUAUGCAGCUAAGCGCCAUAAAUAUUUGGAGCUACAUAUGGGCGACUUAAUAUACCUGAAAAUAAGGACAUUUUAGGAGGGACCUAAGACUCAGAUGAUAAAAGAGCUUAAACCGAGGCACAUGGGAUUGUAUCCUUCACUGGAAGGGAUUGGAUUAGUUGCUUGCAGUUAUUUUAUAAGCAGUGUAUCAGCCUUUUAUGACUUGGUUCAUAUGACAGCAUUGCAAAAGUUGAGAAGGCGCUAUAAUUAUUUUGCAGUUGACGUCAAGUGAGUUCAUAAAGAUUUUAUGGACCUUAUCAUCUAUUGAAGAUUUUGGAUCAUCAAGAGAAAACAGUUCGGGGAAUCUCGACCGUGUUUGUCCGAGUUCGUUGGGAGAGAGAUAAGACUCAGGAGGAGACCAGAAAGGCCGAGCGAGGAUUAGAAUUCGAGGUUUUGGAGGUUUUUCUACGAUAACAUUGUGUAUGUCAGCUUAUGACUUGAAUUCGGGGACGAAUUCCUUGUAAGUGGGGGAGAAUUGUAAUGACCCCAACCCCAGGGUAUCUCCAAAGGCCAACUUGUUUUUUUUUUAAAAAGAGAGAGAGAGAGAGAGAGAGAGAGAGAGAGAGAGAGAAGAGAGAGAGAGAGAGAGAGAGAGAGAGAGAGAGAGAGAAGAGGAAGGGAGACAGCUUACCUGAGUUGUCACCGGAGCCACCGCGCCUCGAGACCACGUUGAGCUCGUCACCACCGUUCGCUGCAGCUUAGAAUCGCCGGAAACCGCCAUGCAGUUAAGCUUAGUUUCGUCCGUUUAGUAAAUCGACCAUAACUUAUUAACUGUUGCGAAUCUCGUGCAUCCAAGCCCAUCAUCGUGUUCCUCUCGUCGAUACGAAGCCGUAGACACCAAGCACGCCUCAAACGGAGCCCGGACGAAGCCGUACGCGCCUCCAGAAAACCGCCCUUCGCGCGCGCGUGAAACGCACGCGCCGCCGCCGGAAAUCGUCGCCACCGCAGCUCCGCCGUCGCCGCCGGCAAACUUUCCGGUAAGCCGCCGCCGCAGCUCCGCCGUCGCCGCCGGCCAACUUUCCGGUAAGCCGCCGCCGCAGCUCCGCCGUCGCCGCCGGUGACCGACACCGGUGACUCACCGGCGACUCGGUCAACUCGGCCGAGUCAACUCAGUGAGUCAACUCGGUUGACUCGGUUAACCGAUCGGUUAGCCGGUUUAAAUUGAUUUUGGUUCGGUUAGGGUAAACCGGUCGGUUUAGUCAAAUCGAUUUCCGGGUUGACUUUGACCGGGUUGACUUUGACCAACGGAUUUGGAGUCCAUUUGAGCAGCUGGAGUUCAUAGACAACACUUUUCUAUUGCUAAGGUUCAUGAACUAUCCAACAUGGAACCAAGAGCACCAUUAUCAAAUAACAAUGGUAUUCGGUCAUUGGAGGAUUUCCAAAUGGUUUUCAAGCUUAAAAGACUGGAAUUUUUCUCCAACUGCGACUCUCUUCGGGUAGCUUGGCUCAGAAACAAUAUUUUCAAGAGGUGUUUCUGGUUAACUGCUGAUUCUCCUUGGUUUUCAGCCACAAUUAUGAGUUAAGGAUGGCCAUUCUGGAUCUUUCUGAUUUGAUUCUUGGACUGAGCUCGGGCCCUUAAUAUCUAUGGUAGGAGAAAAGGGACCGAGAUCACUUCGAAUCAGGAAAAACGCUCAUAUUGUUGAUGCCACAAGAAAUGGUUCAUGGUGUUUUCCACCUGCAAGAAGUCAGGAAAUGAUUAUGUUCCAAGCUGAUGUCUCUACUAUUUCAAUUCCCCUCUGCUUCCAUCCAACGGCACGGACUGCUACUUAUGGCUCCAAGUAGACGGGAACUAUGGAACCUCUUUCUCCUCCAAGGUUACUUGGGAUCAUAUCCGAGUUACAUCUCCAAACGUAUCAUGGUAUAAAGUGAUAUGGAAGGAGCACAUUCCUAGAAACUCUGUUGUGUCUUGGUUGGCAUUAUUGAGAAUGCUCCCAACAAAGGACAGACUCCGAAGAUGUGGAAUGAAUGUCUCAGAUAUUUGUGUGCUUUGUAACAAUGGGAUUGAAACUCAUCACCACUUUUUUUUUGAGUGGUGUACUACUCAGCCAUAUGGUUUUACCUGUGUUUUUUGAGUGGUGUACAAUCUUGCUCAAGCUUCUCUUGCAAUCAACAAUUUAUCUCCUGUGGAGGGAGAAAAAUGCAAGAAUUUUCACUACAACUGUCUCGUUUCCGGAAGCUCUUCGCGUAUCACUCGACCGACUCAUCAGAGACCGCUUGCUCUACAUUCUCUCCAUACCGGUAACCCCUUCAUCUACUCGCUCUCUUCUGCAAUUUUACUUCUCAUGUUCUUUGUCUUUUUGCCUUAAGGGUUGUUGUCGUUUUUCUAUAUUUGCUGUAAUAAGUUGCUGCUGCAUCAUUGUAAAAUCUUUAACUGGUAUAAAUUUUAACAUUUUACCAAGAGAAAAGAGCACCAUUAUAAGUAAGAUACCCAUUUAGUCUAUCACUAAUUUAUAAUCAUCUAAUCUAUUAAAACUGAAGUACAAUUAGUAUUUAACCCUGAUUUUUCCUUAAUAUUUACCAUUCCAUGCCAUUGAUUUAAACACAGCCGUUUUAUAUAUUUUGUAUUGAUUCAAUAUUUAUUUUAUUAAGAUUUUGACGAGAAUAAUCUAAACCAAACGAUCUCAACGCAGUGAGAACAAAAAAAGACACACAAACAGAAUCCGAUCAUAGGGGAGUUUCGAGAGAGAGAGAGAGAGGAAACAGACUUCCUCUUGAUAUCAUGUUCAUCUUCUGCAUCCCUCUCCUCCAUCUCUGCUUUCUCGCUUUCGCUUUGGGUCCUUCCUCUGCUUUGAUUCCCAUCGCAAUACUCACUAUGAUAUAUUUCCAUGGCACUUAUCCAGUUAUCUGAUAACGUUAAAGAAUGAAGCUUGGUUGACUUACAUCACUUUCAACCACACGAAGGCUACUUCCACUUAGAUCUCUUGGCCAACUCCAUCCCUCCUUUCAAGUUCCAUCUCCCUCUCUCUCUUCCUUUAUCUUUCAGCCUUUAAUUUCACAUCUUUUUCUGAAAGUCAGCAUCUUUGCUAGGUUAUGUGAAUUGUUUUUGUUCAUGGGUCUGGUCAAAGCUUUGAUUUUUUUGUUCAAAGCCAUGUACUUUCCGUUAAUUGAUCUGAAUGAUUCACGUAUUCAUUGGUUUAGACCUCAUGUUGUAUUGUUUAUGCAAUAUAAUUCCUCAUAUUAAUGGUUAUAAAAACAUAAGCUUCCAGUGUUCGAAAGCUGCUUCCUUUUUUUUUGCAGGAAUCGAGCAAAGAGCGAUGUAUCGUUCCAGAUGCUCCUGUUCGAGCUCAAAAGUUGCGCCAAGGUAUCAGAGAUUCUUGAGGAACUGAAGAAAGAUCCAGAGAGGCAUGUAAUUGCGCAGAGAGUGAUACAACUGUUCCAGAUUCUCCUGCUCGAGCUGAAAAGUUUGCUGAAAGUUGGAACCUCUUAAAAUAUGGGGAGAUUCUUGAGGACUUGAAGAAUGAUCCGAAGAGCCAUGGGGAGAUUCUUGAGGACUUUUCUCUUACCAAGCUACCUAGAUCUUUCUCUUAGCAUUAUCUCUUUAAAGUCUAUCUUAAAAACACAAGCUAUGUUACAAAAAAAAAAAAAAAAAAAAAAAACACAAGCUGAUAUUUGAGUGCUAUCUUAUUUCAACUUGUAACAUGCAUAUUCCUUUUCACUGGAAGCAGCCAAAUUCAGACUAUGCACGCUCUGCCUCACAGGUUUCUGUAUUAAAUAGAUGUAAAAACUAACACAUUCUCAAUAUAUUUUAGUGACAGCUGCUCCAAAAAUUAUUUAAAUAACCUUGAUUACA
RNA transcript from Brassica napus (rape), 7847 nucleotides. RefSeq lists it as uncharacterized. The transcript is spliced from 9 exons. Lineage: Eukaryota; Viridiplantae; Streptophyta; Magnoliopsida; Brassicales; Brassicaceae. The record is from RefSeq and is a predicted model, not a curated record.